CCUACGGGAGGCAGCAGUGAGGAAUAUUGGUCAAUGGCCGGAAGGCUGAACCAGCCAUGCCGCGUGAAGGUCAGUGCCCUAUGGGCGUUAAACUUCUUUUGUGCGGGAGCAAUAAUGGUCACGUGUGGCCAGACGAGAGUACCGUACGAAUAAGCAUCGGCUAACUCCGUGACAGCAGCCGCGGUAAUACGGGGGAUGCAAGCGUUAUCCGGAUUUAUUGGGUUUAAAGGGGGCGUAGGUGGGUGGUUAAGUCAGUGGUGAAAGGCCCCGGUUAAACGGGGGAAGUGCCAUUGAUACUGGCAGGCUGGAGUGCGGAUGAGGUAGGAGGAAUGCGUGGUGUAGCGGUGAAAUGCUUAGAUAUCACGCAGAACUCCGAUUGCGAAGGCAGCUUACGAAUCCGCGAUUGACGCUGAUGCACGAAAGCGUGGGUAUCAAACAGGAUUAGAUACCCUAGUAGUC
RNAcentral lists this ribosomal RNA (459 nucleotides) under uncultured bacterium. Its description in RNAcentral is "partial 16S ribosomal RNA". It matches the Rfam family "Bacterial small subunit ribosomal RNA", at positions 338 to 795 of the family's 1533-position model. The record is from RNAcentral.